RNAcentral lists this ribosomal RNA (520 nucleotides) under uncultured Glomus. RNAcentral's name for it is "SSU rRNA". It matches the Rfam family "Eukaryotic small subunit ribosomal RNA", at positions 569 to 1089 of the family's 1831-position model. The record is from RNAcentral. Lineage: Eukaryota; Fungi; Glomeromycota; Glomeromycetes; Glomerales; Glomeraceae.
AGCAGCCGCGGUAAUUCCAGCUCCAAUAGCGUAUAUUAAAGUUGUUGCAGUUAAAAAGCUCGUAGUUGAAUUUCGGGAUUAGUACGUUGGUCGUGCCUUCGGUAUGUACUGAUGUUACUGAUUCCUCCUUCUGAAGAACCGUUAUGUCAUUCAUUUGGUGUGGCGGGGAAUCAGGACUGUUACUUUGAAAAAAUUAGAGUGUUUAAAGCAGGCUUCGCGACUUGAAUACAUUAGCAUGGAAUAAUGAAAUAGGACGUUUAUGAUCCUAUUUUGUUGGUUUCUAGGAUCGACGUAAUGAUUAAUAGGGAUAGUUGGGGGCAUUAGUAUUCAAUUGUCAGAGGUGAAAUUCUUGGAUUUAUUGAAGACUAACUACUGCGAAAGCAUUUGCCAAGGAUGUUUUCAUUAAUCAAGACGAAAGUUAGGGGAUCGAAGACGAUCAGAUACCGUCGUAGUCUUAACCAUAAACUAUGCCGACUAGGGAUCGGAUGAUGUUAUUUUUUAAUGACUCAUUCGGCGUCCG